AAUGAUGUUAUUUUAAUG
RNAcentral lists this microRNA (18 nucleotides) under Ciona intestinalis (vase tunicate). RNAcentral describes it as "cin-miR-4198-5p". Lineage: Eukaryota; Metazoa; Chordata; Ascidiacea; Phlebobranchia; Cionidae. The record is from miRBase by way of RNAcentral.